UAUGGGUUGUCAGAGCCUGAGCCUUGCACCAGGCCUGUUGAUGUUAUAAUGUCAAAUCUACUGAUACCGUGAGUGUAGUAGGAAGAGGACCCAAUGCUACGCUGAGGAGGCAUGACCUGAUGAUCUAGACCUGAUUCCUCCUCAACCCAGACAUGAACAGAGGACCAGCUUUACCACCUGAGUUACUGCUGGACACAAAAUGUGCAAAAAGGCCAGUAAAAGACUCUUUGUUGAGCCUCUUUGCUGGAAGAAGAGAGAAGUCCAGACCCAAAGAGGGACAGAGACACCGUGUGAAGUCAUGAUUCUGAGUGGACGUCCACAGAGCUUGAGUUGGUGACCCAUGUGAUCCAGUCCAGAGGACCAGAAAUGGUUCCACCGACGUGUGAAUCCUGGUUCCAGUCUGUCUCCUUUACAUCCGUCCACAUGACAGAAGGUGGAACCAGGAUUCACACGAUGUGUGAAAAAGGUGAUCAUGACUGAGAUGACACACAGCCGUCGGCCUGAAGGACAAGCAAGGUGGACCACAGACACCCAACUUCCUGUUGUACAUCCAAGGUUUCCAUGGCGAUGAAGAGCUCCCAGCCAGAUGACAGCAGCUGUUAAGAAAAGAGCAUGAAGUUAUGACUCUGAGUGGACAUCCACCAGACUCCAGCUGGAUAAAACGAGCUCCUGAUGGUGGACGUCAACACAUCCCAGGAAGCUUCAGCAGCACCGCCGUCCCCUGAACACACUCCUGCACCAAAC
Long non-coding RNA from Melanotaenia boesemani (Boeseman's rainbowfish), 744 nucleotides. RefSeq lists it as uncharacterized. The transcript is spliced from 5 exons. The record is from RefSeq and is a predicted model, not a curated record. Lineage: Eukaryota; Metazoa; Chordata; Actinopteri; Atheriniformes; Melanotaeniidae.